GCGUCCAUUGUCUAAUGGAUAGUACAAAGGUCUUCUAAACUGUUGGUAUAGGUUCAAAUCUUGUUGGACGCA
This 72-nucleotide transfer RNA is filed under the name Ricinus communis (castor bean). It matches the Rfam family "tRNA". Rfam says of the family: Transfer RNA (tRNA) molecules are approximately 80 nucleotides in length. Their secondary structure includes four short double-helical elements and three loops (D, anti-codon, and T loops). Further hydrogen bonds mediate the characteristic L-shaped molecular structure. tRNAs have two regions of fundamental functional importance: the anti-codon, which is responsible for specific mRNA codon recognition, and the 3' end, to which the tRNAs corresponding amino acid is attached (by aminoacyl-tRNA synthetases). tRNAs cope with the degeneracy of the genetic code in two manners: having more than one tRNA (with a specific anti-codon) for a particular amino acid; and 'wobble' base-pairing, i.e. permitting non-standard base-pairing at the 3rd anti-codon position. Lineage: Eukaryota; Viridiplantae; Streptophyta; Magnoliopsida; Malpighiales; Euphorbiaceae. The record is from Rfam by way of RNAcentral.